RNAcentral lists this ribosomal RNA (468 nucleotides) under uncultured bacterium. Its description in RNAcentral is "partial 16S ribosomal RNA". It matches the Rfam family "Bacterial small subunit ribosomal RNA", at positions 28 to 507 of the family's 1533-position model. The record is from RNAcentral.
GACGAACGCUGGCGGCGUGCUUAACACAUGCAAGUCGAACGGAAAGGCCCUGCUUUUGUGGGGUGCUCGAGUGGCGAACGGGUGAGUAACACGUGAGUAACCUGCCCUUGACUUUGGGAUAACUUCAUGAAACUGGGGCUAAUACCGGAUAGGAGCUCCUGCUGCAUGGUGGGGGUUGGAAAGUUUCGGCGGUUGGGGAUGGACUCGCGGCUUAUCAGCUUGUUGGUGGGGUAGUGGCUUACCAAGGCUUUGACGGGUAGCCGGCCUGAGAGGGUGACAGGCCACAUUGGGACUGAGAUAAGGCACAGACUCAGACGGGAGGCAGCAGUGGGGAAUAGUGCACAAUGGGCGGAAGCAUGAUGCAGCAACGCCGCGUGCGGGAUGACGGCCUUCGGGUUGUAAACCGAUUUCGCCUGUGACGAAGCGUGAGUGACGGUAAUGGGUAAAGAAGCACCGGCUAACUACGUG